RNAcentral lists this ribosomal RNA (292 nucleotides) under uncultured bacterium. RNAcentral's name for it is "partial 16S ribosomal RNA". The record is from RNAcentral.
GGACUACAGGGGUAUCUAAUCCUGUUUGCUACCCACGCUUUCGUAGUUGAGUGUCAGUCACUGUCCAGGUCGCCGCCUUCGCCUCUGGUGUUCCUCCCGAUCUCUACGCAUUUCACCGCUACACCGGGAAUUCCACGACCCUCUCCAGUACUCCAGUCUCACCGUUUCAAGGGCACUUCUUGGGUUAAGCCCAAGGCUUUCACCCCUGACAAAUGAGACCACCUACCUACCCUUUACGCCCAAUAAUUCCGAGCAACGCUUGCACCCCUCGUAUUACCGCGGCUGCUGGCAC